RNAcentral lists this transfer RNA (76 nucleotides) under Chloroflexota bacterium. RNAcentral's name for it is "Chloroflexi bacterium (marine sediment metagenome) tRNA-Pro". It matches the Rfam family "tRNA". Rfam says of the family: Transfer RNA (tRNA) molecules are approximately 80 nucleotides in length. Their secondary structure includes four short double-helical elements and three loops (D, anti-codon, and T loops). Further hydrogen bonds mediate the characteristic L-shaped molecular structure. tRNAs have two regions of fundamental functional importance: the anti-codon, which is responsible for specific mRNA codon recognition, and the 3' end, to which the tRNAs corresponding amino acid is attached (by aminoacyl-tRNA synthetases). tRNAs cope with the degeneracy of the genetic code in two manners: having more than one tRNA (with a specific anti-codon) for a particular amino acid; and 'wobble' base-pairing, i.e. permitting non-standard base-pairing at the 3rd anti-codon position. RNAcentral also lists the same sequence under 2 other names. Lineage: Bacteria; Bacillati; Chloroflexota. The record is from RNAcentral.
CGGGGUGUGGCGCAGUCGGAAGCGCGCCGCGUUUGGGACGCGGAGGUCGGCGGUUCAAGUCCGCCCACCCCGACCA